GAGCAAUCGAGUGAGCUCAGAGUAGUGUCGGUUAACAGAACACAUGUGCUCCUGGCUGAUGCAUUACCCUCCCCGCAGCUGUUAGCCUUCUGGGACCUUGCAAAGCAUGCUCAGUUAGGAUGGAAACCAUAGUUCCUCAGGACUGUCUCCUGCCUCUUCUACUCAGGUGUCCCGCAGCACGACAAUCUCAUCUUAUCGCAGCAGACACCUAGAAACAAAACACAGAACCCACCAGAGAGAACUGGGCGAUGAACGAAUGCAUCAGAAAUUCAAGUCGACUAUGGAAGAAUUACUGCCAAUUGGCAGCUCUCAAUUCUAAACAGAAGUGUCCCAAGCCUACCGAGUUUGACAGACGUUUCUUAGAAUUGGGGAGUUGGGAACAUUGAACUCUUUUUAAGUUCUAUUCCAAUUGUUUUAUGCAUAGGGAAAUGAAAGUCAAUGCAUCAAAAUGAAGACCCAAAGAAACAUUUAAAAACUUGUUUGACUAGUAUUCAGUAUGUGAGACUAAGCAGUAACUCGCCCUCCUAGUUAACCUUGUCCUGGAAUAUAUAUAAGUUAUUUGUAGCCGCCACUGCUAUAAUAUUUUCUGAAGGAUGCCAAGCUGUAUGCAAGAUCUUUUUGCUAAAGUCCAGACUGUCAACACUGA
Long non-coding RNA from Mastomys coucha (southern multimammate mouse), 646 nucleotides. RefSeq lists it as uncharacterized. Lineage: Eukaryota; Metazoa; Chordata; Mammalia; Rodentia; Muridae. The record is from RefSeq and is a predicted model, not a curated record. The transcript is spliced from 3 exons.